ACCAAGCAAUGCCUUCGAAGAAAUUUGCAGAAAAAAUGAAGAAAAAGUUUGAGAGCAAAGUGGAAAAAAGUUUUAGAUCUGAAAAUUAUGAGUUGUCCCUGCUGAAAUCUGUUAGGGUUUCAUUUAUAUAUCAUCUGUUAAUCAAGUUCUUAAUCAUGUUCAGCCAUGUGGUAAGUGGAAUUAGUGAAAACAAGUGUUUAUGCAAAAUUGAUAUUUCCACCUCUAUGCAUGGUAUGAAUGGAACAGUACACGA
Molecule: long non-coding RNA, 253 nt
Filed under: Lathyrus oleraceus (garden pea)
Lineage: Eukaryota; Viridiplantae; Streptophyta; Magnoliopsida; Fabales; Fabaceae
Description: Pisum sativum (pea) long non-coding RNA (PSAT_LNC023116)
Source: RNAcentral